ACCACUGUCUUGUAUACUUGGCCCUUUAGACAUAUAGGAAUCAUUUUAUUUCAGAAGAAUGAUGUACUGAAUAAAUGUUGUAAUUAAUAAGUGAAUGAUAGUUUCAAAUGAUUUGAAUUGUUGGAUUAAUGUGGAAGAAUUAGCUGAAAUGUAUAAUGACAUUCGAGUGAAUGACACUGGAGAACAACUGCUGGAGGUCUGUGUUAAGAGAGCUGUUUGUUUCAUUAAUUUCAAGCACAAGACCAUCUGCAUAUAGAACUUUCAAUACAUUUAAUUGUAAGAGAAAUCAGAAGAAUAUGAUUGAUUUAGUUGUGUAUGAUGUGAAAUUACCAGAAAAUAUUGUGGAUGUAAGAGUGAUGAAAAGUAAUGAGAUGUAUGAUGGAAACAUGGAAUGGCAUUUGUUGUAUCAAAGAAGAGAACAUAUCUGGAAAUUUUAAGUAGAAGUUGUAAAUGUGGAUGACUAUAUAUAGAUGAUGAGAAACACAGUGAGAGAGAUGAGAAGAUCACGAUGAUUUUGAAGGAAACAAAGGAAUAUUUUGAAAAUAUAUGAGAAGUUUGAUGAAGGAAUAGGUUGGGAAUGAAUCUCAUAUGUAAGAUAUAUUCCUAACCUGAAUCUUCAGAUUAAUCUUUCAGUGGAUGAUGAAGAAUUAGUCUCUAGAUGAUGAGAUUUAUAUCAUCAUCUAGAGACUCAUCCUUUGUUUAAAUAAAAUGCUAAUAAUACUUGUGAUGGGCAAAAUUCAGUUAUUUCUGGUCAAUAUAAUGAUG
This 765-nucleotide long non-coding RNA is filed under the name Androctonus crassicauda. The record is from RNAcentral. Lineage: Eukaryota; Metazoa; Arthropoda; Arachnida; Scorpiones; Buthidae.